AUGGCCACAGAAAGGGCGGUGCUUACACCUUUGAGAGUCAGAGUUGCGCGCUUGCGUUCUAGUUUCUAUGCCGAUGACGCAGCCUUGUUCAUCAAUCCCGUUGCCCAAGAUUUUGCUGCAGUGCAUGCCAUUCUUAAGGUUUUUGGGGAUGCCUCUGGGCUGCGGGCCAACAUCGCCAAGACCGUGGCUUAUCCUAUCUCCUGCUCUGGGAUCAACAUUGAGAGUAUGUGGAGUGUUUUUGGUGGGAUUUUGGGGUCCUUCCCGUGUCAAUACCUAGGGCUGCCACUUGGGCUUCGGAAGCCGAGAAGAGCUGAAGUUCAGCCGGUCUUGGACAAAUUUGCAGGCAAGCUUGCUCCUAGGAAGGGGAGAUUACUAAAUAGGAUGGGAAGGCUGGUGUACAUCAAUUCUGUCGUUACGGCCAUGACCACUUUCUUUUUGACGGCCUUCCCUCCUGACAAGUGGCUAAUCAAAAAAAUGGACAAGCUAAGGAGAAAUUUCCUUUGGUGUGCGGAGGAUGAAGCUGUAGGAAGGAAAUGUCUGGUCAGCUGGAAGCGAGUCUGUGCUCCUAAGCGUCUUGGUGGUCUAGGAGUGAAGGACAUACUUUGUUUCAGCAGGGCGUUGCGUUUGCGAUGGGAAUGGUUUCGGUGGGCUGAAGAGGAUAGGCCAUGGAAGGGCACAGCGACGCCGUGCGACGACACGGAUCGGCAGCUCUUCUCCAGUUGCACUAGUAUCGAGUGUUGGGGAACGUAG
This 750-nucleotide ribosomal RNA is filed under the name Triticum aestivum (bread wheat). Its description in RNAcentral is "partial small subunit ribosomal RNA". Lineage: Eukaryota; Viridiplantae; Streptophyta; Magnoliopsida; Poales; Poaceae. The record is from RNAcentral.